Non-coding RNA from Pelobates cultripes (western spadefoot toad), 1286 nucleotides. NCBI's taxonomy places the organism in Eukaryota, Metazoa, Chordata, Amphibia, Anura, Pelobatidae. The record is from the annotation of a GenBank genome assembly.
UUUUGUAUUUAUUUAUACAUUUAUUUUUUUAAAUGUCCUCCAGUUCUGCUAGGGCAACAUAUAGAGCCAGGCACUGUAGCUGCCGUGAAUUACAUUUCCCAUGAUGCCUAGCUAAUAUUUUAUAAUCAGAAAAAAGAAAAUCAGUUACAGUUGCAAAUACUGUUUAAGUGAAAUACUGUUUUAAGUGUCCCUGUAAACGAAACACUAUGCAGUGUGUAACCCAGUGGCACUCAGUGAGUUAACUUCUUUUGGCUGGUAUAUUAGAAUGAAUCACUUUCUCAGAUAAAAUUAUUGCUUUCCAUUUAUUCUUUUGUUGUUUCAACCAUGAUGAAGGAUUUUUUUUUUUUUUUUUUUUGCAAGAGGCUUUGAUCUAAGUCCCCCAGGGUUUUAUAGUAUUGUAGGUCCAGUUGUAUCUAAAGGAUGUCUUGAAUGGAUUUCACUAUUGUCUACGUGGGUCAUUUUGUAGAGCAGUUUAUUCAAAUACCCCCUUGGAAAAUGGUAAUAGCGCUUAGAAAACAUGUCUGAUUGAUGAGAAGAAUAUUCACUGCAGAGUGAUUGCUGUCAAUCCCUGUCUAGUUACCCAGUCACAUAGAUAAUUAGCCCAACAUCAACUUCUGCACCUCUUUACACAUUUAACAUCUGUAAUAAUACAAGAUUUACAAAACGGAAAUAAUUGUUUUCAAAAGUCUCUCUGAACCACCAAGUAUUUAUUUUUAGUUUAUUGUUAAAAUGGUUGUGUCUGAGUGCUGUUCGCCUUUAAAUUAUAUUUUACACUUACAUGUGAAAACUGAAAAUUCAAGUGUGUCAGUUAAUUUCUGUCCUUAUUUAUAGCGUUUUGCUUGUUUUGUUUUUAAACUAUACACAAACAAUGAAAAUAAAUAAGUGUUUACAAAGAUAAUCCUGCUCUUUCUUCUAACAUCCUAUAUAUAAUACAAGAAACAGUCUUACUCUUAUAUAAAACAUCUUUAGAACAUUUAUACAUUUUAGCUUGUUAUUAAUAUUUAUUAAUAAUAAUAAUAAUAAUAAUAGUUAUAAUUCAAAUAAUACAAACUAGACAGAUCUCAUCAGUUAAAGGUCUCUUUUCAGAGAAUCAGAAUCUGAUCACAUCAUGGUAUAGUGGGAAGUGGACAGAGUAAGACUUCUUUUCAGAAUUACACACAAAAAAACUUCCCUGGUGUUGUAGGGUUAAAUUAAAGGAAACAUGCUUUCUCCCGCCCUACAUGUGUCUGAAUAUUGGGAUAGACUGAAAAGAUGUGGUCCAUAUGUAUCAUAUAACACAAAUAUGC